CAGUCGCCGCGGUAAUACGGAGGGAGCUAGCGUUGUUCGGAAUUACUGGGCGUAAAGCGCACGUAGGCGGUUAUUCAAGUCAGAGGUGAAAGCCCGGGACUCAACCCCGGAACUGCCUUUGAAACUAGAUGACUGGAAUCUUUGAGAGGUCAGUGGAAUUCCGCGUGUAGAGGUGAAAUUCGUAGAUAUUCGGAAGAACACCAGUGGCGAAGGCGACUGACUGGACAAGUAUUGACGCUGAGGUGCGAAAGCGUGGGGAGCAAACAGGAUUAGAUACCCCUGUAGUCCCUGUCUCUUAUAA
RNAcentral lists this ribosomal RNA (301 nucleotides) under uncultured bacterium. RNAcentral's name for it is "partial 16S ribosomal RNA". It matches the Rfam family "Bacterial small subunit ribosomal RNA", at positions 509 to 809 of the family's 1533-position model. The record is from RNAcentral.